UAUAUAUAUACACCUUUACCACUUAUUCAUUUUAGGUCAUGACUAUGAACAUGAAGCAAAUGUUAGUGCCAAAUAGGUUGCGUAUCGGUCGGUUCGAUUUUGAAGUAUAUCGGUUUGACUUAUUGGUUAUCGGUUUGUAGAGAUGCAAAACCGUUAUAGAACCAUUAAGAUAUUGGCUUAUCGGUUAUUGGUUUAUCGGUUAUUGAUCGUUAUCGGUUCGGUUAUCGAUUUAACCGUUAAGAUUUGACACAAAAAUAAAUUAAUAAAACAUCACUUAGAAACAAGGUGACAAAUUGAAUGAAUCAUGUACAUGAGUUCAUUAGUUGCAUCUUGCUCAAAAGCAAACACUUUUACAUUGUAGAAUAACCAAGAUUAUGAGAUAGCCAAAAAUAAAAGUAGGAAACUAAACUCUAAGUCAAGGACUUUAUAUACAAAAUGGUAUGAAUAUAAUUAUUUAAUUUACUAUCGGGUUAUUGGUUAACCCAUUAAGAAAAACCUCAAACCGUUAAGAGCCAAUAACCCAAUAACAAAAAAAAUCAAAACCGUUAUCUAAACCGCUAAACCAAUAACCCAUUACCGCUAAACCAAUAACUUUUUUUCGGUUCAGGUUAUCGGUUUCGGUUCGGUUUUGAACCGCCCUAGUGCCAAAUGUGAAUUUGAAUUCUGGUCAUGAAAUGCCUCUUAUAGGGAUGGGAACAGCACCUUCCUUACCACAACAUGAUGAAUUAGUGUCAACACUCAUAGAUGCCAUUGAAAUUGGUUAUCGUCACUUUGACACAGCCGCUGUCUAUGGCUCCGAGGAAGCACUUGGCCAAGCAGUGGGGGAAACGCUACAACGCGGACUCAUUAAGAGUCGUGAACAAGUGUUUAUUACGUCUAAAUUAUGGUGCACGGAAACUCAUCGUGACCUUGUUCUUCCUGUCUUAAAAAGAACUCUUGGGUACGUAAAUACUUUUGUUUUUUUUUCUUGUUGUUGGUUGAAAAUCAAUGGUCUAUUUGUGAUAUACUCCCCUUGUUCUAAUUUUUAGUUUUUCACUUUAUUUUUUGUCUUAAAAAGUGUUUUUCUUAUGUUUAGCAAGUUUUUCAGUUUCAAUAUUUAAGUUUAAGAUCAUGAGAUUUAAAGGAGUAUAUACAUCUUUAAUUUAAUUUAAAACAAACAAAAUUUGAAAGUCUAUCUUUAUUUUUAAAAUUUCGUGUCUAGUCAAAUUAAGACAAUUAAAUUGAGACGAAAGGAGUAAAUUAAAUGCUCAUAUCAUAGUUCAGAAGAUUAUGGUGUUAUCAUUAUUGUUUUCUAUUGUAUUAUUACUAUUAUUUUUUUAAAAUAAUAUUGGGCUGAAAUACCACUACAACAUAUUUAGUGAAAAUCAUUAAGUGGGAUCUUGAAAGGGUAAAAUGUAUGCAAACCUUAUCAUAUCUUGGCGAGGUAAAAAGACUAUUUUCGAAAGAUUCUUGGCUCAAGUGCACCAAACUCAAGUAAAACUAGAAGAAAAUGUAUAACAAUAAUACAAUAAGCAGUACUGUAGAACCUACAAGAAAGAAACUAUAUAUAUCAGCAACAAAGUAGUGUGAUAAUCGAAACAACGAUCUAUAGAUAACUAAAACAAGACAAUAAAAUACUCUGCCUCUACUAAUUAACCUUCUACCCUUAUACACGACAUUUACUCCUUCCUAUUUUAGAGUCAUGUCCUCAAUAAUAUUGUUAAAGAAUAACAAAAGUCUCAUAUUGGUGGUUAAUGAGAUGUGUGGACUCCUUAUAAGGCUUGGGAAAAUCCUCCUCCCUUUGAGCUAGCUUUUGAGGUGUGAGUUAGGCCUAAGACCUAAUUUAACAUGGUAUCAGAGUAGGGCUCAUCUCACCCAAUGUUUGGCCCCCAAAAAAACAAAUUUGUCCACGCACUGGGCGUGAGGUGGGGUGUUAAAGAAUGACAAAUGUCUCACAUUAAUGAUUAGUGAAAUGGGUGGAGUCCUUAUAAUAUAAGGCUUGGGCAAUUCUCCUCCCUUUGAGAUAUUUGGGGUGUGAGUUAGGUCUAAGACCUAACAAAUAUGAAGUUGCGUUAUGUCAUGUAUAAUCACCUCUCCCAAUACAUUUUUUGCAUACCUCUACCCCUCUGUGUACCCUGUACAACCAACCUCUUGUACCUCCUCACUGAGGCAUCUAUGAACCUCCUUUUCAUAUUCCCAAACCAUGUCAGUCUUACUUCCCUUAAUUAUUUUAUCUGUCAUAGAGGCAAUUCUCACCUUUUUCCCGGAUAACCUCAUUUCUUAUUUUGUCACUUGCUCUUAGUACAACAUAGACUGAUAUGGAUAGUGAUGAUUCAUAUAUUACUUAAAAACCUACUAGUUUGGAGUUAAAACAUAAUUAUUGUUUUUGGUGAAACUCGACAGAUAAGUACAUGAUGUGAUUAAUUAUAAAGUCAAUAAUGAAUCUUAAUCCUAUUAAUUGUAAUUUGUAGGAGGCUGAAGAUGGAUUACUUGGAUUUAUACCUAAUACAUUUGCCAGUGACAAUGAAGAAGAAGGUAAUAAGUUUAUUCUUCUACUUACUUUUUGUGUUUGGUAAAUAAACCGAAAAUAUUAUCUGAAAACAUGCAUUAAUUUAUAAGUUGACUCAGUAGGAAAGUCAUUUUUUCGAAAUUUUAACUAAACAAACAUGAAAUUUAAAAAUACUUUUUGAAGAAUAUUUUUCCUCUAUAUCAAACACGCUCUUAGUUAUAAAUCACUAGUACGUAGUACUUUAUCCAUUUUAAUUUGUUUAAUCUAUAGCAUUAAGAAUAUUAUGUGAAAAGUUGAAAUUAAAAAAUUGCUAGAAAAAAAUAGCUAUAAUCCAUAUAAAAAGAAAAACAGGUCACAUAAAUUGAAUACUCCUAAUAUUUUACAGGUGGAAAUGCAUGUUGCAUGGAGGCAAGAGAAGAUGUUAGAGUAUUGCAAGGAAAAAGGAAUACAUGUGAGUGCAUGGUCUCCACUUGGAGGUAAUGGGAUAACUCCUUGGGGCACCCAUGCGUUGCUCAGGUGAAAAUGCAUUGAUAACAUCCCUAAAUUCGGUAUAAAUUAUUAGUUUCAUUUUUGAAUUAUAUUAUUGAUAGCUUUAAAAAUAUCUUUUUACUUGAUUAACUAAAUUUUAAUACAUCCCUGAUCUUAUAACAUGAGUGAAAUACAUCCCUAAAUUCUCGCAAAGUUUCGAGGUGUUAUCAACACUUCUGUUGGCAUUAUAUUAAGAGUUGUGUGCUACUAGAAGAGUUUGAGACUACUUGCUAUGUCAUAUAACAGAUUUGGGGUGUAUAUGAGUUUAGUUAGUCAAGUAGAGGGAUAUUUUUAAGACUGUCAAUAAUUCUGGAAUGAAAUUAAUAAUUUGUGCAAAGUUUAGAAGUGUUCAAUACUUCUCUCCUUAUUAUUUGGUCAUAUAUACUCACACAUUGAGAUUAAUUCCAAGAAAAUCUUUACACAAUAUAUUGACUUUAUCUAAUUAGCCUAUGUUACAAAUAUUUAUAGGUGGCAUUAAGAUGGGUAUAUGAGCAAGGAGCUAGCGCAAUAGUGAAGAGUUUCAACAAGGACAGGAUGAAAGAGAACCUACAAAUUUUGGAUUGGGAACUAAGUAAUGAAGAAAUAGCUCAAAUUCAAGAGAUUCCUCCUUGCACCGGAUUCAAAGUUGACAUGGUUUUAGUUCAUCCAAAUGGACCAUACAAAUCUGCCCAUCAAUUCUGGGAUGGCGAGCUAUAGAAGUCAUAAUAUUACUUUUGUUUUUUGGUAAACAAGAUAAUUAUAUUAAUAAUCAUUACAUGGCAGAGCGGUGGAACUACUUCUUAGUAUGCGGGUAGGGGGUGAUUACUAUAUAUAUUACAAGUUUUUUUUUUUUUUUUGCAGUAGAAGACUUGAUUAGUAUAACAAAAAGAGUUCCUUCCUUAUUUACUUUCAACUUCACUGCCACAAACAAAGGUGGAACUGCCCAGUUCACAAAAGAUAUAGUUGCUGAUAAGUUAGACCCCUCUUUAGCUAACGCAUCUGCCACUUGAUUUUCCCCCAGAAUCUAUGCUGAAUUUGGGGGUGGGGGGAGGGGUGUUCCCCAAUUGAUGAAGUAGCGCCCAUUAGAUUAGAUGUUAAAGUAAGAUGGAUGAUCAUUUUUCUUUGCAGUCUAUAUCAAUCUGGAUUGGGAUCAAAUUAUCCUUUCGAGCAAUAGUCACCCCUUGUAGUAGUGCACAAAGUUCUGUUUGAAUUGUUGUUUGUCCCCUGUUAUCCAGUUGCCUUCCAAGUCUCUGAUGACUCCACCUUUAACGUUAUUUGUGUUGAUUGAACCGUCAAUGUUCAAUUUAAACCCUAUAUUGGGUGGUUUCCAUUUGAAAAAGGUUCCUUUGUAUUUUUGUUAUUGUUUUUUCCUUCUAGUGAGAGCAAAGUAUUUAGCAGCAUGCAACAUGUAGAGGUUUUGUUAUGUUAAUCGGUGUGUUUCGUUUAUUAUGAUAAUUAUCAUUCCUUACCAACCAUAUAUUCCAUAGGAAGAAAGGGAAGGCAUCCUAUCAGUUGGGGUAAUAUUUAAGUUUGAUUUUAAGAUUCUGAAGUUACUCCAACCAUUCGCAGUUGUGCAUGUUUUUGAGAAUCUAGAUUUCAUGUUCCACUCUUAAUGUAUGCCAUAGGUUCCUUACUUUGGUACAUUCUCGGAAGAUAUGUAUAAUGGUUGCAGGGCAGUUACAAAAAAUUACAACAAUUUUUAUUCAUAUUGAUUCCAAUGAGUUUAGGUAGUUGCAUGUGGGUAGCCGUCCAUGUUCACAUUGCCAGAUAAAGUAUUUUAGUUUGUUUGGGCACUGAAGAUUUCAGAUCCAAUUGAAAUUGAGUUUGUUAGAGAUGAUAUAGUUUUGUUUGUUUCAAAGGAAGUGGUAGACAAAUAAAGCUCGUAGAUAGGGUGGAAACCAGCUAAUUUUAUCAUGAGUCUGCUCAAUUUGGGGAAUAUAUAUAUAGGUACUGUGAAUGAGGCUGACAAUGUCGUCUAGGAGGCUAAAAUAAAUUUUCUCUAGAUUCCAUUGCCCGUUAGUAGAUAGACUUUCAAAUUUAUUUCCUCCUUUAAUUUGUUAUAUAUGGUCCAAUUAUACACUCCAUUAACGUAGAAUUACUAGGUAACCAUCAAUCAAUUGUUACACAAUAAAUAAAUCAGUAGUUAGUUUUGCCUUAUGAGUAGUUAGUUAUGCUGUUGGAUUAGUUAGAAGCAGUUAGCAAGAUAAGAUUCUUUCUCAUUUCUAUAUAAAGCAUUGUAUCAUUACAGAUUGACAAAUUGAAUAUACAAGUACACUUUCCGAUGGAAUUCUAUUCUUCAUCUUCUAUCUUUCCAUCCACCAUAGCUGAAUAACUCGAGCUUCUCCGCUAAGCUCCUGUCCAGCUGCUAAAACCUCGGAUUCCUUGAGAAUCCCUGCAUUUUGGCUAACAUUGGUAUCAGAGCCAUACGAAUCCUUGGCAGCAAUGGAAAAAUCAGCAAGAGCAAAUGAGAGUUCUUCUAGUGAAGUAAGGGAAUUGCGUGAAAUGAUGCAGAAAAUGUUAUUGGAAAUUGGUACUCUAGCAAAGAAAGUUUCAAAUCUUCAAAAAUUGGAUCAAGUGGUGCUUGAAAUCAAGGAACUAAUGGCAAGCAAUGGAGCGAAUCUAAGAGAUAAAAUACCCACAGGAGGAGACAAAAUACCUGUGGGUGGAUGGCAGUUAGAGCAACAAUCACACAGUAGCUUCGGUAAUCAGAAUUCACAUUACCCUCGAAGGUCGACAAUGGAGUUUUUGAAGUUUUCCGAAGAAGAUCUCAGAUCUUGGUUGUUUAGAAUCGAUCAAUUCUUCCAUAGGGAGAACAUUCCCAUGGAGGAGAAGAUUAGCAUUGCUGCUCUACAGUUAGAAGGUGAAGCUGUUCGGUGGCACUUGUCCUUUAUGAAAUACAGGCAAUACAUUCAACCACCAACUUGGAAUGAAUAUGUGGUAGCAUUAGUGGAAAGAUUUGGGGCAGAUUCCCCAAAGAAGCUGGUUAGUUUUGAAUUCUCUAAUCUUUCUCAUUUCUACUCACAAGAAACUUCUAUCAAGAAGGCCUCAUAUACUUCCAAGGUUCCCGAUGAAAUGCCUAAAAGAGAUUUAGAUAUAGAUUUUCUGUUUAANNNNNNNNNNNNNNNNNNNNNNNNNNNNNNNNNNNNNNNNNNNNNNNNNNNNNNNNNNNNNNNNNNNNNNNNNNNNNNNNNNNNNNNNNNNNNNNNNNNNNNNNNNNNNNNNNNNNNNNNNNNNNNNNNNNNNNNNNNNNNNNNNNNNNNNNNNNNNNNNNNNNNNNNNNNNNNNNNNNNNNNNNNNNNNNNNNNNNNNNNNNNNNNNNNNNNNNNNNNNNNNNNNNNNNNNNNNNNNNNNNNNNNNNNNNNNNNNNNNNNNNNNNNNNNNNNNNNNNNNNNNNNNNNNNNNNNNNNNNNNNNNNNNNNNNNNNNNNNNNNNNNNNNNNNNNNNNNNNNNNNNNNNNNNNNNNNNNNNNNNNNNNNNNNNNNNNNNNNNNNNNNNNNNNNNNNNNNNNNNNNNNNNNNNNNNNNNNNNNNNNNNNNNNNNNNNNNNNNNNNNNNNNNNNNNNNNNNNNNNNNNNNNNNNNNNNNNNNNNNNNNNNNNNNNNNNNNNNNNNNNNNNAAGAAGGCAGUCUUUCUAAUAGCAGACGAAAGACCAAUACUAAUUGCAGAGGAAAAAAUGCAAUUUUUAUUCAUAUUGAUUCCAAUGAGUUUAGGUAGUUGCAUGUGGGUAGCCGUCCAUGUUCACAUUGCCAGAUAAAGUAUUUUAGUUUGUUUGGGCACUGAAGAUUUCAGAUCCAAUUGAAAUUGAGUUUGUUAGAGAUGAUAUAGUUUUGUUUGUUUCAAAGGAAGUGGUAGACAAAUAAAGCUCGUAGAUAGGGUGGAAACCAGCUAAUUUUAUCAUGAGUCUGCUCAAUUUGGGGAAUAUAUAUAUAGGUACUGUGAAUGAGGCUGACAAUGUCGUCUAGGAGGCUAAAAUAAAUUUUCUCUAGAUUCCAUUGCCCGUUAGUAGAUAGACUUUCAAAUUUAUUUCCUCCUUUAAUUUGUUAUAUAUGGUCCAAUUAUACACUCCAUUAACGUAGAAUUACUAGGUAACCAUCAAUCAAUUGUUACACAAUAAAUAAAUCAGUAGUUAGUUUUGCCUUAUGAGUAGUUAGUUAUGCUGUUGGAUUAGUUAGAAGCAGUUAACAAGAUAAGAUUCUUUCUCAUUUCUAUAUAAAGCAUUGUAUCAUUACAUAUUGACAAAUUGAAUAUACAAGUACACUUUCCGAUGGAAUUCUAUUCUUCAUCUUCUAUCUUUCCAUCCACCAUAGCUGAAUAACUCGAGCUUCUCCGCUAAGCUCCUGUCCAGCUGCUAAAACCUCGGAUUCCUUGAGAAUCCUUGCAUUUUGGCUAACAUCAAUCCAUAUGGAGAUCCUUUUACCAUAUUCUAGGAUCCAUUUAGUUUUAGAUCUAUAGAGUUCCCAUCCCGUGACAAUGUUUUUCCAUAUUUUACUAUGGGACUGUUUGGAUGCCGCAUUUGUAUAAAACAGUCUUUCUUAGUAUAUUUUUUAAUGAGUGUGGAUGUCUGCAAGGCAUCCUGAUUAUUGUAGGCUCUCCAAGCUAAUUUUGUCACGAGGGCUUUAUUUUUUGUUCUACAUUUUUGGAUCCCCCUCCCCCUCUUUUUUGGUAGGCUCACUGUGUCUAGAGGUGACAAAAUUAAGUCCAACCCACCCAACCCAUUUAGGUUUGGGUUGGUUAUUGGUCUGCCCAUUUGUUAGCUCAAUCUAUCUCAACCUAACUCAUUAAAAAUUGGUUUGAUUUGUAACCCAAAUUGAUUUUUUGAGAAAUCUUGUCCAAAUAUUAUUAGAAAACUUUUAUUUUUUUUAUAUGUUAUAUAUAGUUAUAAUAAAGAUUUUUUUUUAUUAGGUACUAAAAACUUAUAAAAUAACAAAUAAAGCUAUUGAACUUAGUAAAAAUUGGGCGGGUUGGGUUAUGACUCAUUACUAACCUGUUACCUAACCCGUUUUGACCCAACUAAUUUGACCCUUGGGUUGGGUUGGAUCUUGACCCGUUUAUUAUAAGUUUGUAACCAUAUUGACCCGCCCAAUUGUCACCCCUAACCGUGUCCCACAUUAUCAAAUGGAGUUUUCGCUUAGUGUUAAUGGUUUCCCAGAUGAAACUCCGCUGAAUUCUAUCAAUCUUAUUUGUAAUAAUUUUAGGAAGGCUAGUGAAAUGCAUUAUGUAGAUAGGUAUGUUGUUCAAGCAAGCCUGGGAUAGAGUUUUCCUUCCCACCAUGUUAAGGAAUUUCGUUUUUCAUCCUAUAAGUCUUGUAUGGACAUUAUCUAUAAUAAAUUGGUAAUCCUUUUUCGUAGGUGUUUUCUGCAAGAUUGGAACGCCCAAAUAUUUCCCAAAGGAUGAUCCUAUAUUGAUUCUCAUGGUUGUUUGGAUAAGAUUUCUAUGGGUAGUUGAACAAUUUUUGGAGCAUAUUAUUUUGGAUUUGGAAUAGUUUAUUGUUUGACCUGAUGCGUUAGAGAAAACCUCCAUGAUUCUCAUUAUAUUCGUGGAGCUAUUUGGAUUUUCUCUAGACAUUAGCACGAGGUCAUCUGCGAAAAAGAGAUGAGAGAGGUUAGGCCCCUUCUUUGAAAUCUUUAUUGGUUUUCAAAUUUUAUUUUGGACUGAUAGCAACUCCAUACACAAAAUGGAAAUGUACGGUGAGAGGGGGUCGCCUUGCCUAAGGCCUCUUGAUGGUUUGAAGAAAUUUAUUCUAUCUCUAUUAACCAUAACCGCGACGCUACUAGUUGUGAUACAAGACAUUAUAAACUCAAAUAAAUAAACUCAGAGUUUGUAAAAAAAAACUCAAAGAAGGUACAUACUGAAAACUACUCAACUUUGUCUAUCUAUGAAGGCUCUACUAUUACAGAAGUAUAUCAGGACAAGACCCACGACAUCUCAAAACUAUUAAAUAAAGGUGAAGUCCUUAGGAAUAUAAGAAGGCUCACCAAAGCUAACUGAAACUGCAAGUGGUAUCAACAAAACUUUUGUUGAUGACCCUGGAUACCUGUAUCUGCAUCAUAAAAAGAUGCAAGCCAAAUGGCGUCAGUAAAUGGAAUGUACAAGAAUGUAAGGGGAAUUCUAAAUCAUAAACAUAAGCUUGAACUAGUGGAAAAGAAACAUACUUACCUCUUCUCAACUCACUUCACUCAACUCAACUCAACUCGACUCAAAGAAACGUAGUUCAACUCAACUCAGAGAAAGUAGGGCUCAACUCAAUAAUAAGAGACUCAACUCUGUGAAACAUAGUUCAACUCAACUCAGAGAAAUAGGGCUCAACUCAAUGAUAAGAUACUUAACUCUGGAUACUCAACUCUGGAUAAAGCAACAAUAAAAUAUGCAAUAUAUGGAAAACUUUUAAAAUAGUAGAUAGCAACUCAAUGUAUUGAAGAAUACAAUAAUAACUCAGUUUUUAUAUAAAAAUACAAUAUAACUCAGUGGGAGAUUCUCUAACCGACAACCAUCACUAUAAGCUAUGUGAUGAUACAAUGUCUAGCCCACGCUGCUAGAACUGUCCUAUACUUUGUCAGGGUAUAGAACCUACUACGAAGUGGAUCCACUAGUCUAUGCUAAAAAGAAAUAAGGAAUCAUCUAAACAGUAUGACCCUUUCUACCCACGUUGGCUACAUAGUUUAUGAGGGUUGUGAGUUAUAUGAACUCUCCCCCUUAUCGGUGCUCAAUACUACUCCCAAAAUAUACUAGCUCAUAUGUUUUUAAAAACAUAACUCUUUAUGUGGUUUGAGAUUAUUACUUAAAAAUGUUUCUCUUAAAAGAGAUGGUACUCAGAACUGCUCAUGAAAACUCUUUUGUAAAUCGGUGUUUCCUCUCAGCUUAAAUGUAAAAACAUUUACUCUUGGGAUUACUUAGUUCCCAUAUAUCAUUUUAAAGAAAAAUGAACUCAAUAUACUCUUCCUCGAACUCAUAUGCUCAAGUCUUAAAACAAGUUUAUGAAAAGGUUGCAAAAGACUUCUCAAAAUAGGGUUCAUGCCGAAUUAUGGACGUGAACGACUCAAUUCAAGGUUUUCAAUAACCAUACAUAGAACUCAAUACUCGGAACUCAACAACUCCAGAACUCAAGGACUCAAUGAUACUACUCAUCUUAAGAAUGCUCAACUCAGAGGGUUCAUGCGGAAUUAUGGACAUGAACUACUCAACUCAAGGACUCAAUAAUAAUCCUCAUCUCAAGACUGCUCGAAUCAUAGGGUUCAUACAGAAUUAUGGGCAUGAACUACUCAACUCAAGGACCUUCAUAGGUAACAUGUAGUAAUCCCAUGACUAGGAAUAUAAUCUCAAUAGGAUUAGGAACUCAAUACUCAAGACUUAGAACUUGAAGAUACUACUCCUCUCAAAUAUUCUCAAAUUAUGGAGUUCAUGCGAAAUUUAUGGGCAUGAACAACUCGACUGAAAGAUCUCAAUAAAAAUAUAGAAACUCAAUACUUAGGAAUAAAAUUUCAAAAGAAUCAGAAAUUCAAGAACUCAAAAUCAACUUAUCUCAAGAUGUAGGGCGUGAGGUCAAACUAGUCCAACAGUAUGAUAGCAUUACAUACUUGAAAUAACAAGGUUCUUGAAAAAUCUUGAAAAAUCUUGAAGAAGAACUUGAUUAGAAGCCUUGAAACCAUAGCUUGAAGGUAAACAUUCAAGAAAACCUUUCUUGAGAUUCUUGAAUUGGUUUCUUGAAAUCUCUAUGGCCAAAAAUUAUGAUUUUCAUUACUGAUUCAUAAUUGUUUGGAGGAAUUUGAGUUGGAAAGAAUGGAAUUCUCGGAGAAAAACUUACCUUGAAGAAGAAUCUUGAAAAACAUGAAAAUAAUCUUGAAUGGAGUCUUUUACUUUGAUUUUUCCUUAGGGUUUUACCUUAGGGUUUGAGAGAGAAGAGAAUGAUGAAUUAAAAGAUGGAAAUAGGAUUGUUUAGGGUUUUAUAGGAGUUAAUAAAUCCGUUUUUAAGGUUUUUCUAGUGGUAUAAGGAGAAUAAAAUUGCCUUAUUUAGUAUUUUCCCGCAGCUAAAAUGGAACUGCACUACACCAGUUACUAAAAUGGUCAUAACUUUUUACUCAAAAAUUGAAUUGACGCAAAAUUGGUGGCGUUAGAAAGAGGAUUCAAAAUCAUCCCCACACUAAAGAAUUUACCUUAACACCUAAGAAAAAUUAAGAGUCACUCAUUACGACCUUAUACGCAAUUCAAGAAUGGUUUGAUCUUAACGUAGAAAUUUUCAAGGUGUUACAAUAAUUUUAUUUCUUCUACGAAUCAUCGUGUGAAAGAAAUUAGUGUUCUGGUCUCCCUCAUUUACCCAAUUAAUUCUCAAUUUUAGUUUCCAAAAUUCCUCCUCCAAUCGUUGGACAAGAUUACAGUCAUUGAUGAGCUCAACCUCUAACUGGAGAGGAAGGUGCUGAAUUGAUAGUUCAAUGAUUUUGAAAAUGAUCAAAAUAGUCCUUAAUGUAUGAGUUUAAAUUGAUUUAGCCCUCAUAUAUGUUUCUUAUGGAAAUGGUCCUUUAUCUAUGCUAUGUGCUUAUAAAUUUAGGCUUUGACCCUAAAAAAUCUAACACCCAACAAAAAUCUGUCAAAUUAAAUGGAGGUUUCCCUCUCCAAUAAGCUAUUUGCCAAGGUAUUGAUCUUUAUCCAGAAAUUGAAAUACCACCACUACCACAAAAUUUCACAACCGAAGUUCCUCUUUCGCAGUCUCCACAUAAACACACUACUUCCAUCUUCUUGAUCCUUCUAUUUACAGGCUUAGGAGUUGUUGUCUACAUAUUUUGUUCCUUCAUCAUUCACAAAUUAUGUGACUCAAGAACUUCUUCACAACCGGAGCAACAAGUAGUAGUAGUAGAAGAAGAAUUAAGUACUAUUAGAAUAGUGGGUCUGCAGCCGUCGGUCAUCAGUGUCAUCACGAUUCACAAGUAUAAAAUGGGUGAAGGGAUAAUUGAAGGAAUAAAGUGCUCUAUUUGCUUGAGUGAGGCUUUCAUUUUCUCUUCUGAAAAUGACAAUUCAACCAAGCUUCCCUGCAAAUACUUAUCAUACUAUGACAAAUCAAAAUGGCCGUGUACACUCAUUGCCAUAAGUGUAAUUUUUGAUUAUCAAGCUCUUUACAACUUAGAGCUUCCCUGAUAAUGGCAGCUAUAUCAUGCAUUGGUUAUUGUGCCGAUAUCAACCCCUUGGAUCUCAUAAACUGAAGAGAACCUGAAAGGAAAUUAUAUAGUUGGCACUUGGAUAAUAUAAUGUUGAAGUUGAAAUAGAAUAUUUAGAGGUCGAAGUUGUGUUUGACCAUGAAUUUCACUUGGAAAGAAAUUGAAGAUUUGCUAGUGAAAGAUAUUAAUUCACUAAAAAUCAAUUUUAACCAGCAUUUUAAACAUUGAUGGAAGAAAACUUAAUAUUUAGGGAUGGAUGGAAGAUGACAAAAUCUUUCAGGUGGUAGAGAAUUUAUUAGAGAAUGAAGCCUCCAUUAAAUUUGAUAGAUUUUUGUUGGGUCAUUAGUUUUUUUAGGGUCAAAGACUAAAUUGAUAAGCAUUUAGCAUAGAUAAAUGACCAUUUCCAUAAGCUACUUAUAUCAGAGACCAAGUUAAUCUAAACCCAUACAUUAAGGACUAUUUUGAUCAUUUUCUCUAUUUUUGAAUGCCUUCGAUGCAUCAGAGGAGUUUUCUUUUCUUAUAGAAAAUAUUUCCAAAAGUUAAUUUGUUCCAUAUCGUAGCAUUAUCUUUAAAGAAAGAGAUGGCUUCUAAUAUGUUUGAGCGUUCGACAAAAAUGGAUUCGAUGAUUAAUUUUUGAUAGGUCAGGGUAGGACGACCACAUAGAUUCAAAACAAAAGAUUCUGAAAGUAUUUUUUUUGUUAUGUCGGAAGAGAAAUAUAAGAAGAGGAUAGUGGUCCAAGUAGGUACGAGGCAGGUGGUGUACUUGCGCAUCUAGGAAGCUAUGUACCCACUUCUCGUUAGCUAAAGAGUGAUCUAGACUUUAUAGAUAAGGCUCGAUCUAUUUUUGUAGCAUUUAUUUAACCAUGUAUAUUUACUUCCUUUAAAGCCCAAAUCAAUUAGUCCGCAGUGGUUGAUAACUUCCCAGAAGUCAUUGGUGCGGGAAUUAUUUAUGGGCCUACCACCCACUUUAUGGUAGUUGCUUAGUAGUUCGUUAAAAUCUCCCCUAGUAGUCAGUCGCGAUCAUUUGUGUUUUUAAUUUGUUUUAGGUUUUUCCCACAUAAUUUUAUGAGAGUAUUGGUAUGUACUUGCAUAAAUAACACUAAAAAGCCAAUAUUUAUCCAUAGUACAUACCUUAACCAUUGCAUGGAUUUCCUAAUCAGUUGUUGUAAUGUCAUCCAGUUCCAAAAUAGUGUCGCCCAAAAAACAAAAAGUCCACCAGAUUUCCCUCUAGCAGAGACCUCGAUCAUCCUAUUAAAAGGAAAAUCAUUGAGGAUACUUUGGUGGUCUUGCAUCUUGAUUUCUAUAGUGACCUAUGCAGUCUAAAAUGUCUUUGAAAUUCCUCCUAAACUCCAUCCCUUUACCACCUCUACAAUUUCAUAUUAUUGUGUUCAUUGAUGAUCAUUAUGGGUGGGACUGGCAAUGGAGAUUGCCUCGAUGCCAUCGAGGGGUUCCCAUUCCUCAAGGUUGGGUUCAAUCACUACUACAUAAUUCUCUGUUUUCGGAGUGAAUGGAUGCCUUAUAUCUAGAGAACUUUUUAUUAAGGUCAUAGAGAAGAUAAUGAUGCAUCAUUUGAUGAAUAGUUCUUUGAAUGUCAUUACAUUUACUUCCCUUAGAACUAUUAUAGCCAUCUAAGUUUUCAUCAUUAGUUCUAGAAUACUUUUUAUUCUUGUAAGUCUAGAUUUUCCUCAUGUCUGGGACUACUGGGGGGAGUGAGCUAGAGUCUUGGGAUGACGAUGCUAUGUUUGUUGAGAGUUGUUGUGCUCAGACUCUCAUCCAUAGUUGUGUGAACUACUGUGGAGAACACUGGAGCAUUCUCCUGAGCAUUCAUCGGGGUGGUCCAUCGGCUAAAAGCCACUUUGGAUACCUAUUGUGAGAAGAAGAAGAGUGGAAACAUAGAGUUUUUGUGGUUCAUCAUCUGACCCAUUGGGUUGAUCAAGGGUUCUCCCAAAUGGGGUAGUGGUAAAAGGGGAUUUGUUAUGGGGAUUAACUCAAGGGUGGCUAGAGGACCGUCGAUAACCAUAUUUGGUUGUUGUAGGUCUCCAUUGUCAGCCUCAUCCCUUUCGACACUACUUGAACAAAUAAGGUCGAGUUUUGAACAAGGAGCACCACCUCCUGGAUUUUCACUAGAGUUGUGAACGAUAGUGCAUGUCCAUGUAGAGCUAUCUUCAAUCAGGAAUGGGGGAUGGGGUUUGGGGUCAGAGCAUGGGUGGCAUAAAAAGUGUGCCUCUCUAUUGUUACUGGAAAGGUCAAGAGAGGUUGGAGUGGUGCUGGAAAGGGAAGAUAAGAGUUAAUUGAUAGAGGGAGGUUGUUCAUUGGAGGUCAUGAAGUGUGAUGAGAGAGGGAAUGUCUCAUGGAGUUCCUCUUUUCGCUGGGCUAAAAAAGGAAAUCUUAGCCUUAUCUAGGAUUUUUGGAAGUUUGAUGGUGAUAAAGUUGACUGGGAUAUCAACUUUAUUAAUAAAUUAGGCUUCUUCUUUUUGGUAAUAUGGUACUAGGAAUACUCGAGUGAAAAUUAAUUUUUAACAUUAAUGCCUUAUCCGGAUAUGAGGGACCCCUAUAUUUUCUAAAAGUUCUGGAAUUAGUUUUGACAACGUGGAUUGCAGCCAUCUAGGGUAAAUUGUUUGUUUGUUUUAAUUUUUGUGGAGUUGUCAUUUAAUGUGGCGGGAUUGGGGGGCCAAGUGUGAAUGAAUUUUUGAUGAGAUAUUUGAUGUGGGUGCUAAUGAGUUGGUAUUUUCUUUUGAAUGGAUUUUGGAAAGAUUUUUGCUAAUUAGAAUAGUAGAAUUUGUAGGUAUUAGUGAAGAAGUAUUGGUAAUUUGAGUACGCCUCGUAGAGGUCCCUUUAGGGGUUAAUGUAGGCUCAUAGGGUAUUAUUGUUGCCGCCUUACUGCUACUAUUGUUUUUUUAAAAAUUAUUAAAAUUAAUUUUUAACGUCAUCAGGCGUGACGUCGAUGAAAAUGUUCUUGUGAAUUUCUUGGUCAACCAACUGCUGGGAACUGUUUGUAUUGAUGGUUGUAGGUAAAGGCCCGAUUGAUAUGUCUCUGUUUUGUUGUGGGCUUUUCUUAUACUUAUAGAUUUUGGAAUCAAGAAACUUACUUGUGUUAGCAUAAAAUAAAUUGACGCUAAUACCUGUCUCAUUUGCGUGAGUAUCUGUCAUUGAGUGUUUCCCAUGCCUUUUCUUUUGUGUAAAAGUUACCGUCUCUCAUGGUUCUUCAGUGGCCCCUUUUUCGAACUUAUUUGUUUAGUAGUUGCGAAUUUGGGUGCUUCGUUAUGUAUUGCAGAGGUAGUUUUUAAUCUCUUUACCCGUGUUAUCUUUCUUUGUACAGUUUGUGUUGAUAUGACCCAGUACACCACAGUUGGUGCAUCAGAUAUUGGAGCCUUCAUAGAUAAGGGGUUGUUUAUGCUGGCCAAUUGUUAUGUGUUCUUUAACUAGAAUCCCGAUUAGAACUUCAACGUAGAUACGUGCAUAUCGACCUCUCAAAAAAGAAGAUGUACACAUAUCUGUCUUAACUAGUCUACCUAGUUUAUUCCAUAUUAGUGCUAGGAUCCCCUAGUCGUAAAACUAUGUAGGUAGUUCCGGUAGUUUGACCCAUAUUGCAGAAACGUUUUCCUUGACUUCAGAAGCGACAAAAUUGGGGUGCCAUCUUUUAUCUGUAAGAAAAAAAUCAUUGACAAACCAGGAACCUGUUGUAAAAUCUUUUGCAUAUUUUCUUCCUUGAAGAACUUAACUAUAUAAUCGUCAUGGCCAAGGUCGAUUAGGAUGAUUUAUUUAGAGACCCUCCACAGGGAUGAUAGUUUACUCCUGAGGUAUUGAUGGCUAAUUGUCUUACCAAAAAUCUUAAUUAUGAUGGAAUAGGCCUAGGGUUUCUAAAUUCGUUCUUUAUUGUCUGAUGAUAGCAGAAUAUAGUCAUCUUCAUUAGUAUGGCUAAUAGGGGAGGCUUUGAAGGCCAACCUCUUGCCUGACUAUGAUGACGUACUCUGUUCGUCCAUUUUCGUGUCAUCAGAAUGGUAUGGUGCAAUUGCAUUAGAUUUGUCCUCAUUAUUUGAAAAAAGUGACAAUAAAAUGUUCUUAAAGGAGGUUUUGGAAGCUUGGUAUGAGCCUGUGAUGAUGGCCUAAGUUGAAACAUAGUGAAUUAAUGAUGUUCUGGCGGCCGCUCCUUAUCUGGAGGUUCUGGUGGAGUUUGGAUGACUAUGUUGAUUUUUUUUGGAGAGCAAUAAUUCAAUCCUCUUCUAAUACAUCGGUUACUUGGGGUCAUAAUAUUACUUUAACUGUUGUAUAGAAGAGUCCAGGAAGCAGGUGUUUGAUUCUUCAUCAACAUGUUUACUUUCUGGACAAGGGCAAGUUGGUCUUUUAUAAAAAUAACUAGAAAUAAACAUUUCUUCAUUAAAGUCUUUUCUUCUUGCCCAAGGUAUUUAUGGAAUUUCUGUAUUUUUUUUAAUUUUUUUUUUAUCUGUUUGAAUAUUUAAAAAUUACAAAUAAUAUUAUAAGUCACAAUAAUUAACAAUUUAAUUUUUUUUUUAAAAACAUAUAAAAAAGCAAUGGACUCUCGAAAUUUUAUGGGUGUCACAUAGAAUGGAGCAAAGGAAGUAACAUAUAUUAUUUUAAUAUAUCGUAAAAAUUAAUAUAAAUCACAAUAAUUAAUAACUUAAAAUAUUUAAAAUACACAUAAAAAAACUGGUUGACUCUCGAAAUUCUAUUCAUGCUUGGUUAAUUUUGAAAUUCUAUUUGUAUCGGGGAUAAUAAUAUAUAUUAUUUAAAAAUUACAUAAUUAGUUACUAUAAAUCACAAUAAUAAAUAACAUAAAACAUUUAAAACAUAUAAAAAUUUGAAUGACUCUCCAAAUUCCAUUUGUGUCACAUAAAUUGAGACAAAAGGAGUAAUAUAUAAUUUGUCUAUAUUAGCAUGAACUCCUCUAUCGAGGACUAAAUGUAGGAGCACGAGCCAAUAUAUGUUACUUUCUUUGUCCCAAUUUGUACGACAAAGAUGAAAUUUGGAGAACAAUUUUUUUGUAUAUUUUUUUAAAUAUUUGAAGUUAUUAAUUAUUGUGAGUAAUAAUAAUUUCUAUGCUAUUUUCAAAUAAUAUAUGUUAUGUUACUUCAUAUUUUUCAAUUUAUGUGGUACAAAUGAAAUUUGGAAAGCCAACCAAAUUCCUUAUAUGGCUUUUAAAUUGUGAUUUAUUGUGAUAUAUAAUUUCUUAAUGUAAUUUUCAAAUAAUUGUUCUUACUUCCCCUGUCCCCAAUUUAUGUGACACUUAUAAAAUUUUGAGAGCUAAUCAAAUGUUUAUAUAUUUUAAAAAUAUUUUAAGUUGUUAAUUAUUGUAAUUUAUAGUGCUUUUUACAUGAUUUUAAAUAUAUAAAUAAAUAUUUUAAGUUAUUAAUUAUUAUAAUUUAUAUUAUUUUUCACAUAAUUUUCAAAUAUAUAACAUACUAAAAGAGAAUGUAUGACAACUAAAUUAAAUGAAGAGAGUACUCUUUAACUAACUUCUAUCAAAGUCUAUCAUUCAUUUUUUCGCAUUGGUCUCAAUAUUUUUUUAAAAAUAACUAUGAUAAUUAUAUCAUCCAUUUCAACCAACUUUUAUUUUUAACUUAAAAGGAGAGUAUCAUUUCUCUCAAAUAUUCUCUUACAUUAAGAUGCAUUUCUAUGAAGGUUUUAUUAUUAGUUUUAGAUUUAUAUCAAUGUCUAUUUAUAUACUUGUAUUUCAAUAUCAAAAUCUAUUCAAGAUGUGAAUACAUCAAUGCAGAUGCAAAGUAGACUAUAUAUUUAUAUGAUAAAGCUGGGGAUUAUUGAAUUAUUGGACAUACAUUGACAAAAAAGACCCAAGCUGAAUAAUUGUGGAAAUUAAAUUUUAUUCAAUAUAAGUGGCAAGUUUGGGACACUAAAUCACAGAAUAUGACGUGUGCCAAUUAUAUUUUGAACGCUUGAUUAAAUAUUAAUACUUGUUCAAAUUAUGAUGAUUUGAGUUUUACCCUGAUUUUUUUAUCUUAUUUGAAUUAUUUUUUUUAAGGAAAGUCAAAGUAUUACAAUAAAUAUUUUCAUUUUUUCUGAAAAGAAAAUAUAAUUUUUUUUAAAAUUUGGGUUAUUCCUUUCUUGGAGGAAAACUUUAGAACUCCAUAAAUUGAAGACCAGCUCCUCUUUUCAUACCAGAACAACAAUAACAUUCACAAUGUAAUCGUUUAGAGAGUUUUGUUUAUGGAGAGACUGUUUAUGUUUUUUCAAUUAUAAUAUGUAGGUUGCUUGACCAGAUAUUUUUAGUAUACUUUUAUUUGUCAUCUAAUUUAUCAUCAACAUAAUUUGUAAUUAUAAGCUUCUACACGACACCAUAAUUCUUUCGAUCCCAAUAAUGUUAAGUGUCAUGGUUGAACUUGAAAGGAUCACGGUAGACAACCUCCACUAUACGUUAAUCACUAUAUAUCACUUCAACAAGAGAUAAGAUUUGUUUGGUAUAUGUCCACAACAACUAUCUACGCAAGUCUAUCAUUAUUUGUCCUGUUGACUUAUAUCCUUUUAAUGACAAUAAUGUUAGCACUAUAAUUCCAUACUAUAAAGAAUCUUCUUACAGAAAUAGAACAAAAAAAUCAAGAGCUUCGAGUCAAUAAAGACGGAGAAGAUUGACUCCCAAACCAAUUUGUUUUUGAGCUCCAUUGUAGAAUUCGGAUCUAACCAUUAAGUAAGAAGUGGAUGCUACCUUCUUUGGUCCUGCCUUACACACGUUAUUUAUUUUGCAUCUUUGGAAACAUCCUUCUUUAACUUUCGCCCUCCCAUACAGAAAAUAAAGUUCUUUCAUUUGAAGCUUCAUACUUUUGUGAAAAUGGAUUAAACUGUCUCAACCACCCGGCUUUCCCUUCUUUUGUUUGUUCUGGACCCGGAAAUGUCCAUUCGCUUGUCAUUGGGAAUCCCAAUCUAACUUGCUCGUGAUUUAUUAAUAGCAGGAUCAUUUUUUAAUCUAUAAAAUAAAACAUUUACUUGUAGUAUAAUAAACAAAUAAUUAAAUAAAAGUAGAUAGAAGAAAAUGGGGAUGAGUACAUAAUUUUCUUUCCAAUUAUAUCACAAUGUCUUCGAAGGGACCCGCCAAACAAACUUCCUAAAACCUAUUUUAGGUUGCAGGUGGAACGUUGUUGGGAUCUAUACACCUCUAAUUAGUAAUUACCACUUAUUCAUUUUAGGUCAUGGCUAUGAACAUGAAGCAAAUGUUAGUGUCAAAUGUGAAACUGAAUUCUGGUCAUGAAAUUCUGAACAGCACCUUCCUUACCACAACAUGAUGAAUUAGUGUCAACACUCAUAGAUGCCAUUGAAAUUGGUUAUCGUCACUUUAACACAGCCGCUGCCUAUGGCUCUGAGGAAGCACUUGGCCAAGCAGUGGCGGAAGCGAUACAACACGGACUCAUAAAUUAUGGUGCACGGAAACACAUCGGGACUUUGUUCUUCCUGCCUUAAAAAGAACUCUUGGGUAACUACUUUUCUUCUUUUUUUCUUGGUAGUACUUGAUCAUAUGUGUGAGUUUGUUCAACGGUCAAUUUGUGAUAUACUCCCC
Molecule: long non-coding RNA, 19665 nt
Filed under: Solanum tuberosum (potato)
Lineage: Eukaryota; Viridiplantae; Streptophyta; Magnoliopsida; Solanales; Solanaceae
Description: long non-coding RNA (STUB_LNC011721)
Source: RNAcentral